AGUGAACGCUGGCGGUAGGCCUAACACAUGCAAGUCGAACGGCAGCACAGUAAGAGCUUGCUCUUACGGGUGGCGAGUGGCGGACGGGUGAGGAAUACAUCGGAAUCUACUUUUUCGUGGGGGAUAACGUAGGGAAACUUACGCUAAUACCGCAUACGACCUACGGGUGAAAGCAGGGGAUCUUCGGACCUUGCGCGAUUGAAUGAGCCGAUGUCGGAUUAGCUAGUUGGCGGGGUAAAGGCCCACCAAGGCGACGAUCCGUAGCUGGUCUGAGAGGAUGAUCGGCCACACUGGAACUGAGACACGGUCCAGACUCCUACGGGAGGCAGCAGUAGGGAAUAUUGGACAAUGGGCGCAAGCCUGAUGGAGCAAUGCCGCGUGAGUGAAGAAGGCCUUCGGGUUGUAAAACCCUGUUGUUGGGAAAGAAAAGCAGCGGAUGUAUCCCCCGCUGUUCUGACGGUACCCAAAGAGUAAGCACCGGCUAACUUCGUG
This 492-nucleotide ribosomal RNA is filed under the name uncultured bacterium. RNAcentral describes it as "partial 16S ribosomal RNA". It matches the Rfam family "Bacterial small subunit ribosomal RNA", at positions 29 to 507 of the family's 1533-position model. The record is from RNAcentral.